This 465-nucleotide ribosomal RNA is filed under the name uncultured Klebsiella sp. RNAcentral describes it as "bacterial SSU rRNA". It matches the Rfam family "Bacterial small subunit ribosomal RNA", at positions 338 to 795 of the family's 1533-position model. The record is from RNAcentral. Lineage: Bacteria; Pseudomonadati; Pseudomonadota; Gammaproteobacteria; Enterobacterales; Enterobacteriaceae.
CCUACGGGUGGCAGCAGUGGGGAAUAUUGCACAAUGGGCGCAAGCCUGAUGCAGCCAUGCCGCGUGUGUGAAGAAGGCCUUCGGGUUGUAAAGCACUUUCAGCGGGGAGGAAGGCGGUGAGGUUAAUAACCUCAUCGAUUGACGUUACCCGCAGAAGAAGCACCGGCUAACUCCGUGCCAGCAGCCGCGGUAAUACGGAGGGUGCAAGCGUUAAUCGGAAUUACUGGGCGUAAAGCGCACGCAGGCGGUCUGUCAAGUCGGAUGUGAAAUCCCCGGGCUCAACCUGGGAACUGCAUUCGAAACUGGCAGGCUAGAGUCUUGUAGAGGGGGGUAGAAUUCCAGGUGUAGCGGUGAAACGCGUAGAGAUCUGGAGGAAUACCGGUGGCGAAGGCGGCCCCCUGGACAAAGACUGACGCUCAGGUGCGAAAGCGUGGUGAGCAAACAGGAUUAGAUACCCCGGUAGUC